AUUGAACGCUGGCGGCAUGCCUUACACAUGCAAGUCGAACGGCAGCACGGGAGCAAUCCUGGUGGCGAGUGGCGAGCGGGUGAGUAAUAUAUCGGAACGUGCCCAGUCGUGGGGGAUAACGCAGCGAAAGCUGUGCUAAUACCGCAUACGAGCUAAGGAUGAAAGCGGGGGAUCGCAAGACCUCGCGCGAUUGGAGCGGCCGAUAUCAGAUUAGCUAGUUGGUGGGGGAAAGGCCCACCAAGGCGACGAUCAGUAGCUGGUCUGAGAGGACGACCAGCCAGACUGGAACUGAUACACGGUCCAGACUCCUACGGGAGGCAGCAGUGGGGAAUUUUGGACAAUGGGCGCAAGCCUGAUCCAGCAAUGCCGCGUGCAGGAUGAAGGCCUUCGGGUUGUAAACUGCUUUUGUACGGAACGAAACGGCCCUUUCUAAUACAGGGGGCUAAUGACGGUACCGUAAGAAUAAGCACCGGCUAACUACGUGCCAGCAGCCGCCGUAA
This 500-nucleotide ribosomal RNA is filed under the name uncultured bacterium. Its description in RNAcentral is "partial 16S ribosomal RNA". It matches the Rfam family "Bacterial small subunit ribosomal RNA", at positions 29 to 523 of the family's 1533-position model. The record is from RNAcentral.